Molecule: long non-coding RNA, 4778 nt
Organism: Acinonyx jubatus (cheetah)
Lineage: Eukaryota; Metazoa; Chordata; Mammalia; Carnivora; Felidae
Exons: 4
Source: RefSeq, a predicted model, not a curated record
AUUAUCACUUUAACAUAUAAUAAAUAUGAUGUUAUUAACGAGAUAUUUGACAUUCCUGUUUUUGGUACCUCAUCUUGGAAGUACGGUAUAUAUCUCACACUUACAGCACAUCUCAGUUCCAACUAGUCACCUUUCAAGUGCUCAUUAACUACAAGUGCCUGGUGGUUACAUUUUGGAGAUAAGGUUCAGGCCGAAAGCCAGGCCUCUUGUACCAAGUCGCCAAGCUGAGAAUGUAAAGGAAAAGUUCUCGAAGGGAAUUAAAAGUGCUCCUCGAGUGAACCCACAAAUGAUAAGAAAGCAAGAGUCUUGUUGCUGAUACGGAGAAAGUCUGAGUGGUGUGGAUAGAUCAAAGCAGCUACAACAUUCCCUUAAGCCAAAGGCUAAUCCAGGGCAAGGCCUUAACUCUCUUCAAUUCUGUGAAGGCUCAGAGAGGUGAGGAAGCUGCAGAAGAAAAGUCUGAAGCUAGCAGAGGUCGGUUCGUGAGGUUUCAGGAAAGAAGCCGUCUCCAUAACAUAAAGUGCAAGGUGAGGCAGCGAGUGCUGACGGAGAAGCUGCAAGUUACCCAGAAGGUCUCGCUCGGAUAAUUCAGAAAAGUGGCCACACUAAACAGACUUUCAAUGCAGAUGAAACAGCCUCCUAUUAGAAGAAGAUGCCAUCUGGGACUUUCACAGCUGAAGAAAAGUCAAGGCCUGGCUUCAAAGUUUCAAAGGACAGGCUGACUCUUUUCUUGUUAGGGGCUAAUGCAGCCGUGACUUUACACUGAAGCUAAUGCUAACCAUUCUGAAAGUCCUAGGGCCCUUUAGAAUUACACUAAAUCCACUCUACCUGUAUCCUAUAAAUAGAACAACAAAGCCCGAAUGACAGCACAUCUGUUGACAACGUGGGUUACUUAAUGUUUUAAGCCCACUGUUGAGACCUACUGCUCAGAAAAGAAAAGAUUCCUUUCAAAAGAUUACUGCCCGUCGACAAUGCUGCUGGUCACCCAAGACCUCUAACGGAGAUGGACAAUGAGAUUAAUGUCAUUUGCAGGCCCUCUAAUACAAUGUCCAUUCUGCAGCCAAUGGAUCAAGGAGUUGUUCUGACUUUCAGGUCUUAUCAUAUCAUAAGGCUAUAACUGCCAUAGGUCGUGCUUCCUCUUAGAUCUGGGCAAAGUAAAUUGAAAACCUUCUGGAAAGGAUUAGUGAUCCAGGAUACCAUUAAGAACAUCCAUGAUUCAUGGGGAGAGAUCCAAAAUCAAUAUGAACAAGAGUUUGGAAGAAGUUGAUUCCGAGCCUCGUGGAUGACUGGGAGGGGUUCAGGACUUGAGUGGAGGAAGUCACUGCAGACGUGGUGGAAAUAACAAGAGAACUAGAACGACAAGUGGGGCCUGACGAUGUGACAGAAUUUCUACAAUCUCAGGGCAAAACGUGAACAGAUGAGGGGCUGCUUCCCAUGGACGAGCAAGAAAGUGGUUUCCUGAGAUGGAAUCCACUCCUGGGGAAGAUGCUGUGAAGACUGUGGAAAUGGCAGCAAAGGAGUUAGAACACAGAAUAUGACAUAAACUUAGCUGCUAAAGCAGCAGUAGGGGUGCCCGGGUGGCUCAGUCGGUUAAGCGGGCAGCUCUUGAUUUCAGCUCCGGUCAUGAUCUCACAGUUUGUGAGAUCGAGCCCCACCUCGGGCUCUGUGCUGACGGUGUGGAGCCUGCUUGGGAUUCUCUCUCUCUCCUCUCUCCACCCCUCCCCUGCUCACUCUUUCUGUCUCUCUCUCAAAAAAAAAAAAAAAAGAAAAGAAAAGAAAAGAUAAGAAAAAGAAAAAGAAAAAGCAACAGCAGAGUUUGAGAGGACUGACUUCAAUUUGGAAAGACGUUCUGCUGUGGGUAGAAUGCUAUCAAACAGCAUCACAUGCUACAGAGAAAUGUUUCGUGAAAGCAACAGCCAAUCGAUGGGACAGGCUUCAUUGUUGUCUUAUUUGAGGAAAUUGCCACAGCCACCACAACCUUCAGCCAUCACCACCCCGAGGAGUCAGCAGCCUUCAACAUCAAGCCUCCAACUAGCAAAAUCAUUAUGACUCACCGAAAGCUCGGAUAAGGGUUAGCAUUUUCUAGCAAAAAAUUAUUUUUCCAUCAAGGUAUGUACAUUGUAUUUUUUAGACAUAAUGCUAUUACACAUUUCGGCUACAAUAUAGUGUAAACAAACUUUUAAUAUGCACUGGAGAACCAAAACAUUCAUUUGACUUGCUUUAUUGCAAUAUUCCCUUUAUUGCCGUGCUCUGGAACCAAACCUACCAUAUCUCUGAGGUAUGUCUGUGUGCCAUGAUACAUGUGCCCAUUUAUUUGUUUAACUUAUGUUUCCCCUAGAAGACAGAAAGUCUUGCGUAUAAAACAUUAUUCUAGUCCCCAGAUCGAAAGCACUGAACCAGAAUUUAAAGUAUGUCCCUGCUUGUCUAAGGUUUAAUUUGUAGUGGAGGGACACUGAAAAUAAACACAUGAAUGAGCACGUCGGCCAUAUCAUGUAUCACAUCCUUCCAUGGUCUAUCAUCUCAUAAAUCACUUAAUGAGAAAAGCAAUGCAGAAAAACAAAAGAGGUAAGGGAAUAAAGAACAAUAUGGGAGAGGUAAGGUCUCUUGUUUUAAGCAGAAUGCUGAGGGAGGAGUUCACUGCUGAUGCCUGAACAGACAUGAAUGAAGUGAAGGAGCGAGCCAUGCAGGAAUCUGGAGGGAGUGAAGUCUCAGCAAGAAGAAUAGUAAGUACUAGAAUGUUCGUUGACAUGGAGAAGUACUUGGAGAAAACUGAGUAGUGGGAGGUGGGAAUCAAGAUUUCAGUUGGGCCCUUUAAAAAUUGAGUUGCCUACCUAGUAGGGGUGAUAUUAAAAAGUAUCAACAGAUAGGGGCGCCUGGGUGGCUCAGUCAGUUAAGCGUCCGACUUCAGCUCAGGUCACGAUCUCGCGAUUCAUGAGUUCGAGCCCCGCGUCUGGCUCUGUGCUGACAGCUCUGCGCCUGGAGCCUGCUUCAGAUUCUGUGUCUCCCUCUCUCUCUGCCCCUCCCCUACUCAUGCUCUGUCUCUCUCUGUCUCUCAAAAAUAAAUAAAAACAUUAAAAAAUAUAUAUAUCAGAUGGGACACCAGGCUGGCUCAGUUGGUGCAGCAUGUGACUCUUGAUCUCGCGGUUGUAAGUUCGAUCCCCAUAUUGGGUGCAGAGAUUACUUAAAAAUAAAAUCUUAAAAAAAAAAAAUCCACAGAUGUUCAACAGAUGCUGGCCAAUCAGAAAGGAUUCUCCACUAUUCAGAGCUGAUGACACUUAUAAACCAAUGAUAAUACCAUAGUGAAACUUGCCAGUGAGUGUUAGCUCUGCCUAUGAGAUGUCCAAGUGGAGACAUGUGAUUCUGGAGUUCAGGAGAGGAUCAGGGCUGGUGAUGAGUGGUUUAAGACUAUAGGAUUAUGGGAGGUGACGGGGAGGGGAAAGUGGGUGACGGACAUUGAGGAGGGCACCUGUCGGGAUGAGCACUGAGUGUUGUAUGGAAACAAAUUUGACAAUAAAUUUCAUAUUAAAAAGAAAAAAAGACCAUGGGAUUGGUGAGAUCAUCAACUGAGUGGGUGUAGAGAUAUACAAAUGAAAAGGUCAAGCACUGAGAAAGAUAGCCUGCAAAGGUGAGAAGUGACCAUUGAGGUAGAGGAAAACCAAGUAGGGGUGGUGUCCUAGGAGCCAAAGGGAGAAUGUAUUUCAAGGAGAGAGCAAUCUAUGGUGACAAGUGCUGUUGCAGGGUUAAGAAAAUCACCGAAGACCCAUCGUUGGAUUGGAAACGUGGAGGUCCUUGGCUUUGACCAGGACGGUUUUAGUGGAGUCGCUGGGAUAGAAGCCUGCUUGGAAUGUGAUCAAGAGAUGACCAGAGCUGAAAAGUCUGCUUAACUCUUUGAAGACGAUGAGAGAAAUUACGGUGUUUGCUUACUGAUGGAAAUGAUCUGGCAUAGGAGGCAUCGAUGAGAAGCUACUGCAGAGCAAAUCUUUGAGCAGGUGGAAGGAAAUUGAAUGGAGCGCAGAAGAGGACAUAGACAGUUGCAGAAUUGGAGUGGAAGAACAUGCCCUAUUGCCAUUGCCAUCACCCUUCUUCCACAAAAGGCUAAAGAUUUGUGAAGACUGUAGAUUGACUGAAAAGGACUUCGACUCUCCGUUGAAUGCUUGCGCUCAGACGAUCUACCCGAGGGCUUGUGUCCUGCUUUCUUCAAUGAGGUGAAUGUGAGGACACAAUAAAUUAUAUUCAAAUGGCAGUCAUGGAGGAAACUUCCCUUUCCUUCCUCAUCCACCAAGCUGAUCGAUGGGCUCUAAAGCCCCGGGGAAGCAGCAUCUGUUGUAACUCAAGGAUCCCUGCUCGAGCUGAGUAUGAAAUUAACAGACACAGAGCAGUUAGCAGCUCAACAUUUGUUCAAGUCUGGCACAUGCACACAUCAUUAGCAACUAUAUUUGAGGAGCAAGAUCAAGGAGGUGAGGAAGAGGGUGUAUCUGAUUAAAGGGAUAUUCAGGAAAGAGGAAAUUCAGAGCAUUUAGGUAAAGCUUCAUGGCUAAAAUAAAUGAACUGGAGAGCAGAGCAAACAGCCAGGGACAUGGGAUAAUUUUGCCCGUGCAACUUCCCAAACAAAGUCAUUUCACGCAGUGGAUCCCCCAGAGUGGCUGGCUGCCUCUUUUACUUCAGCUCCAUGGGCUGUCUCUCCACUAAAAUUCGAGGGCAAAGAUUUUGCUGUCCUGUUCACUGCUGUAAUCUGGGCUCUUAGUAGAUAAAAUUAAAUAUUCAUGGAAUAAGUUAACGUA